AAAGCCUGAUCCAGCCAUGCCGCGUGUGUGAAGAAGGUCUUCGGAUUGUAAAGCACUUUAAGUUGGGAGGAAGGGCUGCAAGUUAAUACCUUGUAGUUUUGACGUUACCAGCAGCAUAAGCACCGGCUAACUCCGUGCCAGCAGCCGCGGUAAUACGGAGGGUGCAAGCGUUACUCGGAAUCACUGGGCGUAAAGAGCACGUAGGCGGCCUUGCAAGUCAGAUUGUGAAAUCCAACGGCUUAACCGUUGAACUGCAUUUGAAACUGCAAGGCUAGAGUAUGGGAGAGGUAGGUGGAAUUCUCGGUGUAGGGGUAAAAUCCGUAGAGAUCGAGAGGAAUACUCAUUGCGAAGGCGACCUGCUGGAACAUUACUGAUGCUGAGGUGCGAAAGCGUGGGGAGCAAACA
RNAcentral lists this ribosomal RNA (405 nucleotides) under uncultured Wolinella sp. Its description in RNAcentral is "bacterial SSU rRNA". It matches the Rfam family "Bacterial small subunit ribosomal RNA", at positions 378 to 774 of the family's 1533-position model. Lineage: Bacteria; Pseudomonadati; Campylobacterota; Epsilonproteobacteria; Campylobacterales; Helicobacteraceae. The record is from RNAcentral.